This 1380-nucleotide long non-coding RNA is filed under the name Monodelphis domestica (gray short-tailed opossum). RNAcentral describes it as "lncRNA (ENSMODG00000049551.1)". Lineage: Eukaryota; Metazoa; Chordata; Mammalia; Didelphimorphia; Didelphidae. The record is from RNAcentral.
AUGGGAGUCACGCUGGAAUUCCCACUCUCUCUCAUCCUCCAAAUCCAAUAUGGUGCCAAGUUCUGUCCAUUUCACCUCUGCAGCAUCUCUGGUCCAUUUCACCUCUGCAGCAUCUGGUCCAUUUCACCUCUGCAGCAUCUCUGGUCCAUUUCACCUCUGCAGCAUCUCUGGUCCAUUUCACCUCUGCAGCAUCUCUGGUCCAUUUCACCUCUGCAGCAUCUCUGGUCCAUUUCACCUCUGCAGCAUCUGGUCCAUUUCACCUCUGCAGCAUCUCUGGUCCAUUUCACCUCUACAGCAUCUGGUCCAUUUCACCUCUGCAGCAUUUCUGGUCCAUUUCACCUCUCCAACAGCUCUUUAAUACACUCCCUUUUCUCCUCUGACUGCCCCUAUGCUGAUGCAGAUACUCAUCACCUCACAUCUGGAUCCAUGCAAUAGUUGCUGGGGACCCUCAAGUCUCUCCCUACUAGGCUCCAUUCUCCAGUCAGUUACCAGAGUGAUUUUCCUAAAGUGGGGGUCUGACUGUCACCCCCUAUUUAAUAGACUUUAGUGGUUCCCCUUCACCCCCAGGAACAAAUACAAAAUGCUCUUUUGGCCUUCAAAGCCCUUCCUACUUUUCCAGUCUACUUAAACAUCCCCCCCAUACUCUUUGUUCCUGUGAUGCCAGCCUCCCAGCUGUUCCCCAAACAAGACUCUUCAUCUCUCAGCUCUGAGCAUUUUUCUGUCUGUGCUCCAUGUCUGGAAUGUUCUCCCUCCUCCACUCUGACCACUGAGCUCCCCAACUUUCUGGAAGUCCCAUCUAAAAUCCUUCCUUCUCCAGAAAGCUUGGCCCAACCCCUCUUAAUUCCAGUGCUUUCCCACCAUUCAUUCUGUCCUCUGUAGCUUGUUUGUAUGUCUCUCAGUGGCCUGGAAGCUCCUUGAGGGCAGGAACUGUCUUUUGCCUCCUCUUGUAUCCCUGGGGCUUGGCACACAGUAAGUACGUGGUUCACAAAAGUUGACUGAUUGAUUGUUAGGGAAAGCAAUGCAGGCCCAGGAACUGACUACUCUGAGGUCCGGGGAAGGAGCCAUGACAAUGCAGUGCUUCACUGCCAGUCAAACAUCUGUGGGAGUGGCAUCCCAGAAGGUGAAGAGAGGUCAGCAUAGGAAUCAGGGAACCAGGGCAAGAUCAAGCAGCACUGAUGUCUCCACCCGAGAGGGCACAGAGCCUGGCCCUGGCACAAACUCCCAACUUAGGAGCUAAAGCUGGACAGAUGAACCAGCCAAAGAAGACACAAAAGAAACCAAAUUCCUGGAAGAAAUGAAGCAAGAGAUUUCAAAUGAAAUCAAGUCCCUUAAGAAAAAGAGUUGGAAGGAGAAUAAAGAGCUUUGAGGAGGAAAUAACCA